GGCCUGAUAGCUCAACGGGUGGAGUACUGCACCGGCAUCGCAGAGGUCAGGGUUCGAGUCCCGCUCAGGCCU
RNAcentral lists this transfer RNA (72 nucleotides) under Acropora cervicornis. RNAcentral describes it as "tRNA-Ala". It matches the Rfam family "tRNA". From Rfam's summary of the family: Transfer RNA (tRNA) molecules are approximately 80 nucleotides in length. Their secondary structure includes four short double-helical elements and three loops (D, anti-codon, and T loops). Lineage: Eukaryota; Metazoa; Cnidaria; Anthozoa; Scleractinia; Acroporidae. The record is from RNAcentral.